RNAcentral lists this ribosomal RNA (910 nucleotides) under uncultured bacterium. RNAcentral describes it as "bacterial SSU rRNA". It matches the Rfam family "Bacterial small subunit ribosomal RNA", at positions 10 to 916 of the family's 1533-position model. The record is from RNAcentral.
AGUUUGAUCCUGGCUCAGAUUGAACGCUGGCGGCAUGCCUUACACAUGCAAGUCGAACGGCAGCACGGGGGCAACCCUGGUGGCGAGUGGCGAACGGGUGAGUAAUACAUCGGAACGUGUCCUGUAGUGGGGGAUAGCCCGGCGAAAGCCGGAUUAAUACCGCAUACGCUCUACGGAGGAAAGGGGGGGAUCUUCGGACCUCUCGUUAUAGGGGCGGCCGAUGGCAGAUUAGCUAGUUGGUGGGGUAAAGGCCUACCAAGGCGACGAUCUGUAGCUGGUCUGAGAGGACGACCAGCCACACUGGGACUGAGACACGGCCCAGACUCCUACGGGAGGCAGCAGUGGGGAAUUUUGGACAAUGGGCGCAAGCCUGAUCCAGCAAUGCCGCGUGUGUGAAGAAGGCCUUCGGGUUGUAAAGCACUUUUGUCCGGAAAGAAAACCUCGGCCCUAAUAUGGUGGGGGGAUGACGGUACCGGAAGAAUAAGCACCGGCUAACUACGUGCCAGCAGCCGCGGUAAUACGUAGGGUGCAAGCGUUAAUCGGAAUUACUGGGCGUAAAGCGUGCGCAGGCGGUCCGCUAAGACAGAUGUGAAAUCCCCGGGCUUAACCUGGGAACUGCAUUUGUGACUGGCGGGCUAGAGUAUGGCAGAGGGGGGUAGAAUUCCACGUGUAGCAGUGAAAUGCGUAGAGAUGUGGAGGAAUACCGAUGGCGAAGGCAGCCCCCUGGGCCAAUACUGACGCUCAUGCACGAAAGCGUGGGGAGCAAACAGGAUUAGAUACCCUGGUAGUCCACGCCCUAAACGAUGUCAACUGGUUGUCGGGUCUUCAUUGACUUGGUAACGUAGCUAACGCGUGAAGUUGACCGCCUGGGGAGUACGGUCGCAAGAUUAAAACUCAAAGGAAUUGACGG